Molecule: small RNA, 396 nt
Filed under: Arabidopsis thaliana (thale cress)
Lineage: Eukaryota; Viridiplantae; Streptophyta; Magnoliopsida; Brassicales; Brassicaceae
Description: ATSL268670
Source: RNAcentral
GUCAAGUGUUUGAGUGAGUAUGACAACUAGAACCAUAACCGGACCUUCAAAUCCUAAGUAUUGAAUCUUUGUAAGAAGAUAUAAAGACAAAGACUCAUACGGACUUCGGCUACACUAUCAAUGGUUUGAGAAGCAAGAAGAAGCUUGGUUAGUGUUUUGGAUUCAAAUAUGAUUUGAUGUCAUGUGUAUGAGUGAGUAUAAAGACUAUAACCGCUACGGAUCUUAAAAGCCUAAGUAUUGUGUCCUUGUUAGAAGAUACAAAGACAAAUACUCAUAUGCACUUUGGCUAAACCAUCAAAGCUUUGAGAAGCAAGAAGAAGCUUGGUUAGUGUUUUUGAGUGAAAUAUGACUAGAUGUCAUGUGCAUGAGUGAGUAUACCAACUAGAACCGCAAUUG